RNAcentral lists this ribosomal RNA (257 nucleotides) under uncultured bacterium. Its description in RNAcentral is "partial small subunit ribosomal RNA". It matches the Rfam family "Bacterial small subunit ribosomal RNA", at positions 26 to 285 of the family's 1533-position model. The record is from RNAcentral.
AGGACGAACGCUGGCGGCGUGCUUAACACAUGCAAGUCGAACGGAAAGGCCCUUUCGGGGGUACUCGAGUGGCGAACGGGUGAGUAACACGUGGGUGAUCUGCCCUGCACUUCGGGAUAAGCUUGGGAAACUGGGUCUAAUACCGGAUAGGACUACGAAUCGCAUGGUUUGUGGUGGAAAGCUUUUGCGGUGUGGGAUGGGCCCGCGGCCUAUCAGCUUGUUGGUGGGGUGAUGGCCUACCAAGGCGACGACGGGUA